This 84-nucleotide transfer RNA is filed under the name Candidatus Aenigmatarchaeota archaeon. Its description in RNAcentral is "tRNA-Ser". It matches the Rfam family "tRNA". Rfam says of the family: Transfer RNA (tRNA) molecules are approximately 80 nucleotides in length. Their secondary structure includes four short double-helical elements and three loops (D, anti-codon, and T loops). The record is from RNAcentral. Lineage: Archaea; Nanobdellati; Candidatus Aenigmatarchaeota.
GCCGAGGUCGCAUAACCCGGUAUUGCACCGGUCUCGAAAACCGGCGGGCGCAAGCCCUUGGGGGUUCAAAUCCCCUCCUCGGCG